UCACUGACUUCAAGAAUGAAGCCGUGGACCCUCACGGUGAGUGUUACAGCCCUUAAAGGCAGUGUGGACCCAAAGAGUGAGCAGUAGCAAGAUUUAUUGCAAAGAGCGAAAGAACAAACCUUCCACAGACUGGAAAGGGACCCAAGCGGGUUGCCACUGCUAGCUCAGGCAGCCUGCUUUUAUUCUCUUAUCUGGCCCCACCCACAUCCUGCUGAUUGGUAGAGCCCAGUGGUCUGUUUCGACAGGGCGCUGAUUGGUGCGUUUACAAUCCCUGAGCUAGACAUAAAGGUUCUCCACAUCCCCACCAGACUCAGGAACCCAGCUGGCUUCACCCAGUGGAUCCAGCACCGGGGUUGCAGGUGGAGCUGCCUGCCAGUCCCGGUGCCGUGCGCCCCCCACUCCUCAGCCCUUGGGCGGUCGAUGGGACUGGGCACCUUGGAGCAGGGGGUGGCGCUCAUCGGGGAGGCUCGGGCCGCACAGGAGCCCAUGGAGGGAGUGGGAGGCUCAGGCAUGGCGGGCUGCAGGUCCCGAGCCCUGCCCCGCGGGAAGGCAGUUAAGGCCCGGUGAGAAAUCGAGCGCAGCGCCGGUGGGCUGGCACUGCUGGGGGACCCAGUACACCCUCCGCAGCCGCUGGCCCGGGUGCUAAGCCCCUCAUUGCCCGGGGCUGGCAGGGCCGGCCGGCUGCUCCGAGUGCGGGGCCGGCCAAGCCCACCCCCACCCGGAACUCCAGCUGGCCCGCAAGCGCCGCGCGCAGCCCGGGUUCCCGCUCGCGCCUCUCCCUCCACACCUCCUUGCAAGCUGAGGGAACCGGCUCUGGCCUUGGCCAGCCCAGAAAGGGGCUCCCACAGUGCAGCGGUGGGCUGAAGGGCUCCUCAAGUGCCGCCAAAGUGGGAGCCCAGGCAGAGGAGGCGCAGAGAGCGAGCGAGGGCUGUGAGGACUGCCAGCAUGCUGUUACCUCUCAAUAAGGAAUUCAAGGUCUCCUUGGGAGUCUCAUGUCCUUGCCAAGCCUUCGCCAGGCUCUCGCCACUGCCGUUCCUCUACCAGCCCAAGUCUACAUUCUGAGGCUCUAGGAACACGAGAGAGAACUCCAGUGCUCACAUCCCAUAUUGACCCUCUUUAUGUUCUUCAAUUACCACCUAC
Molecule: long non-coding RNA, 1140 nt
Filed under: Homo sapiens (human)
Lineage: Eukaryota; Metazoa; Chordata; Mammalia; Primates; Hominidae
Description: HSALNT0315286
Source: RNAcentral